This 254-nucleotide ribosomal RNA is filed under the name uncultured bacterium. Its description in RNAcentral is "partial 16S ribosomal RNA". It matches the Rfam family "Bacterial small subunit ribosomal RNA", at positions 524 to 776 of the family's 1533-position model. The record is from RNAcentral.
UACGUAGGGGGCAAGCGUUGCCCGGAUUUAUUGGGCGUAAAGAGCUCGUAGGCGGUUCGACAAGUCGGAUGUGAAAUCUCCACGCUCAACGUGGAGGGGCCAUUCGAAACUGUCGUGACUUGAGUCCGGUAGGGGAGUGUGGAAUUCCCGGUGUAGCGGUGAAAUGCGCAGAGAUCGGGAGGAACACCCGUAGCGAAGGCGGCACUCUGGGCCGUGACUGACGCUGAGGAGCGAAAGCGUGGGGAGCAAACAGG